UACGUAGGGUGCAAGCGUUAAUCGGAAUUACUGGGCGUAAAGCGUGCGCAGGCGGUUUUGUAAGACAGGCGUGAAAUCCCCGGGCUCAACCUGGGAAUGGCGCUUGUGACUGCAAGGCUGGAGUGCGGCAGAGGGGGAUGGAAUUCCGCGUGUAGCAGUGAAAUGCGUAGAUAUGCGGAGGAACACCGAUGGCGAAGGCAAUCCCCUGGGCCUGCACUGACGCUCAUGCACGAAAGCGUGGGGAGCAAACAGG
Molecule: ribosomal RNA, 253 nt
Filed under: uncultured bacterium
Lineage: Bacteria
Description: partial 16S ribosomal RNA
Rfam family: Bacterial small subunit ribosomal RNA
Source: RNAcentral